GACAAAAAUGUGUCACAGUUUUUCAAACAAAAGUGUUGCAGUAGCUAGUUUUAUUUAAAACACGUGUUUAAAGAAUUCAAUUUACGAGUGUUUACGAAUUUAUCAAUCUAUUGUGUGUCAGUGCAAGUUUACUCAAUUGUUAAAUUACGCGAACAAUCCGGACAUUCUUUCUAACAAGUGAUAAACAAAUCCGUGCGACUUCUUUUUUAACCUCUCCCAUAGAGAAUUCAUCGAAAGAAUAAUAGACGAACCAAUAGUCCAAGUACGACAGUCGCAAUACCGCCACCAAUGAAUCCUUCCCACGUCUUUUUCGGUGACAAUUUUAUCAAUGGAGUUUUGCCGAAGAAAAAUCCAAAAACAUAUGCCAUCACAUCAUUUAUGACAAUCAUACUCACUGGUACGAUGAACCUGAAACACAAAGGACUGAUCUCGAAGUGGCCUUAAGAGUGAAACUACACGCGGGCAGUCAUUUUAUUUUCUGAGGUUCGAUCCAAGGUUCAAUCCCCAAAGGCGAGGGAAAUUUGGACCAAAAUCUGUUGUUAAUUUAUAGAGAAUGCAGUGUCAAUUUAUUCUCGAGGCGGCUCGUUACAAAAAGAAUUGGCGAGACAAAUGUCUCAUCGUCGCUUUUUAAAACUGGGAACUCUCUGAAGAAAGCUGAUCAACGCCCGAAGCGUCAUCUACCGUUAGUACCUUUCUUGACAGCGCGUCCCAAAUAUUGUCAUGUAA
Long non-coding RNA from Leptopilina heterotoma, 726 nucleotides. RefSeq lists it as uncharacterized. The transcript has 5 exons. Lineage: Eukaryota; Metazoa; Arthropoda; Insecta; Hymenoptera; Figitidae. The record is from RefSeq and is a predicted model, not a curated record.